GUGGGGAAUAUUGCGCAAUGGGGGAAACCCUGACGCAGCAACGCCGCGUGAUUGAAGAAGGCCUUCGGGUUGUAAAGAUCUUUAAUUGGGGACGAAAUAAAUGACGGUACCCAAAGAAUAAGCUCCGGCUAACUACGUGCCAGCAGCCGCGGUAAUACGUAGGGAGCAAGCGUUAUCCGGAUUUACUGGGUGUAAAGGGCGAGUAGGCGGUCCAUUAAGUGUGCGGUGAAAUUCGGAGGCUCAACCUCCGUCCCGCCGCGCAAACUGAUGGUCUUGAGAUUGGGAGGGGGAUGCGGAAUUCCUGGUGUAGCGGUGAAAUGCAUUGAUAUCAGGAGGAACACCGGCGGCGAAAGCGGCAUCCUGGCUUAUAUCUGACGCUGAGGCGCGAAAGCGUGGGUAGCAAACGGGAUUAGAUACCCUAGUAGUCC
This 428-nucleotide ribosomal RNA is filed under the name uncultured bacterium. Its description in RNAcentral is "partial 16S ribosomal RNA". It matches the Rfam family "Bacterial small subunit ribosomal RNA", at positions 354 to 796 of the family's 1533-position model. The record is from RNAcentral.